GGCCUGUUGUGCGCUAAGCUCGUAGUUGACUUCUGGCUGGUGCGGUUCAUGGCUUCAGGCGGAAUCGUUGCGGUCAUCCGCUUGCCUGUUCCGUUCGAACUUCACUGUUCGACGGACGGAGAGGCAUUUUACUUUGAAAACUUAGAGUGUUUAGGCAGGCUAUCGCCCUGAAUACACAAAAUUGGAAUAAUGAAAAGGACUAGUUCCCUUUUAUUGGUUAUUGGAAUUAUGAAUGAUUAAAAUGGACAGUUGGGGGCAUUAGUAUUUAAUUGUCAGAGGUGAAAUUCUUGGAUUUAUCUUGACUAACUUAUGCGAAAGCAUUUGCCAGGAUGUUUUCAUUAAUCAAGAAUUAAAGUUAAGGGAUCAAAGACGAUCCGAUACCGACCCAGUCUUAACUAUAAACUAUACCGACUAGGGAUUGACCGGGAUUUUUUAACCCGGUCUUUACCUUAUGAGAAAUCAAAUUCUAUGGGUUCUGGGGGGAGUAUGGCCGCAAGGAUGAUGCUUACAGGAAUUGACCGAAGAGCACCUCCCGGAGUGGAGCCUGCGGCUUAGUUUGACGCAACUUAGUUAAACUUACCACGUCAAGACUUACCUGGGAUUGACAUAUUGAGAACUCUUUCAUGAUUCUAUGGUUGGUGAUGCAUGGCCGGUCUUAGUUGGUGCAGUGAUUUGUCUGGUUAAGUCUUGUAACGAACAAUACCUUAACCUGCUAGAUAUCUGGCUGGUGAAUAACCGCUCUCACUUCUUAGACUGACUAUGCUCUCAAACGCAUGAAAGUUUGAUGCACUAUCAGAGUCAUUGAUGCACAUAGAUGUUCUGAUGCCCACGCACGCUACACUGACCCGGGCAACUAGUACGUCCUGUUCAGGAAGGAUUCGCGUAAUCUUCAUAUCACGUGUCUCUCUGAAGAUAGAUCUUUGCAAGUAUAGAUCUUGAACAAUGAAUUCCUACUACGAUAAUGCAUCAGCAUGUGCUGAUUACGUCUCUGCCCUUUGUACACACCUGCCCGUCGCUACCUACCGAUCGACUGGUCUUACCGAUUGUUUC
RNAcentral lists this ribosomal RNA (1050 nucleotides) under uncultured eukaryote. RNAcentral describes it as "bacterial SSU rRNA". It matches the Rfam family "Eukaryotic small subunit ribosomal RNA", at positions 606 to 1711 of the family's 1831-position model. The record is from RNAcentral.